AACGCUAGCUACAGGCUUAACACAUGCAAGUCGAGGGGCAUCAGGGUAGCAAUACCGCUGGCGACCGGCGCACGGGUGAGUAACACGUAUCCAACCUACCGUUAACUCGGGGAUAGCCUUUCGAAAGAAAGAUUAAUACCCGAUAGUAUAUUUUCUUCGCAUGUUGAAAAUAUUAAAGAAUUUCGGUUAUCGAUGGGGAUGCGUUCCAUUAGGCAGUUGGCGGGGUAACGGCCCACCAAACCUACGAUGGAUAGGGGUUCUGAGAGGAAGGUCCCCCACAUUGGAACUGAGACACGGUCCAAACUCCUACGGGAGGCAGCAGUGAGGAAUAUUGGUCAAUGGACGAAGGUCUGAACCAGCCAAGUAGCGUGAAGGAUGACUGCCCUAUGGGUUGUAAACUUCUUUUAUAUGGGAAUAAAGUUCUCCACGUGUGGAGUUUUGUAUGUACCAUUAUGAAUAAGCAUCGGCUAACUCCGCGCCAGCAGCCGCGGUAAUACGGAGGAUGCGAGCGUUAUCCGGAUUUAUUGGGUUUAAAGGGAGCGUAGGUGGACUGGUAAGUCAGUUGUGAAAGUUUGCGGCUCAACCGUAAAAUUGCAGUUGAUACUGUCAGUCUUGAGUACAGUAGAGGUGGGCGGAAUUCGUGGUGUAGCGGUGAAAUGCUUAGAUAUCACGAAGAACUCCGAUUG
This 686-nucleotide ribosomal RNA is filed under the name uncultured bacterium. RNAcentral's name for it is "bacterial SSU rRNA". It matches the Rfam family "Bacterial small subunit ribosomal RNA", at positions 32 to 715 of the family's 1533-position model. The record is from RNAcentral.